AAAAAACUUACGGAUCAAGUUGAU
This 24-nucleotide microRNA is filed under the name Glycine max (soybean). RNAcentral's name for it is "gma-miR4343a". The record is from miRBase by way of RNAcentral. Lineage: Eukaryota; Viridiplantae; Streptophyta; Magnoliopsida; Fabales; Fabaceae.